CCGGUUUUCCUCCCAUACUCCCAACAACUCUCCUGAAACUGCCCUCACGGGGCUUGCUGAGAAGUCCCCCUGAGGCUGGGUCCAGCCGACUCUUUUCAGUCCUGAUUCUCCCUGACCUUUCUGCUGCCUUCCACCUUCUGACUUUGACCCACAUUGUUCCUUCCCAGUGGCUCCUCUGUCCCUCUGUGUGUCUCCCCUUCCUGGGCCUGCAACUGUACCUUAGAAGUUGGUGGCCUCCCAGUGUCUGUGCUGGGUCCUCUCCUGGCUCUGUGUCCACGCUGCACAACUUCAUUUCUGCAGCUUCUGGGACCACUCAGAGAUGGGAUUCCUAACCUGCUUCCCGUCAGCUCCAGAUGCAGCUAUCCAGGGGCUGGAACUUCACCUCCAGGCUUCCCCGUGGGCCCUUAGACUUGGACACAUCCCAAACCAGCUUCAUCCUCUUCCCCUCAUUAUGAUGCACACAGCUUCUUCCCAUUCAACCUCCUCGUGAGGACCGGACUCCUAGCCACGCUGAAGGCAGAAGAAAACAGGCUCAGAGCAGGGCAGCUCGAAGUCACACAGAUCAGUCCAGGACUGGAGCCUCCUGGUCCUCAAAUCCCUUGGAGGAGAUCCUGGGCUGAGAGGGCUGAGGCCCUGAGGGCAGAAUGGGGACCAGCCACCGGAAAUAACCUGAGGCAGGUAGGUUCCAGUUCCAUUCUGCAAGACCCAGACUUUUUCUUUUUUUUUUAUUUGAGACAGAGUCUCUGUUGCCCAGGCUGGAGUGCAGUGGCAUGAUCUCCCAGGUUCAAGCCAUUCUCCUAACUUAGCCUCCUGAGCAGUUGAGACUCAAACUUUUCUUAUCACCAGACAAAGACACUCUGGGAGGCAGGGAGCUAGUGGAUACAUAGUUGUGUGUCAGUCAGGGCGGACUAUCCUGAGGAGGGCUCUCUAUUCAUGGGGAGAGUCAAGGGCUGUUGAUGUUAAUGAUUAGAUUUUUAAAUGUGCUUUGCAAUUCACAGUGCUAGCGGGGCAUUGUGGCUCACACCUGUAAUCCCAAUACUUUGGGAGGCUGAGGUGGGUGGAUGGCUUGAGCCCAAGAGUUCAAGACCAGCCUGGACGAUAUAGCAAGACCCCCAUAUCUAUAAAAAUAGUUUAAAAUUAGCUGGAUGUGGUGGCACAUGGCUGUGGUCCCAGCUACCUGGAGGCUGAGGCGGGAGGAUCACUUGAGCCCAGGAGGUUGAGGCUGAAGUGAGCUAUGAUUGUGCCACUGCACUCCAGCCUGGGCGACAGAGCAAGACCCUGUCUCAAAAAAAAAAAAAAAAACCACAAUGCUUUCAAUGACAUAUGUCAUCUUGUGGCCUCAAGUCUUUUUUGGAACAAGGCAGUGCAUAAAGACAUAAUCAUUUGACAGUCAAAGAAUACAG
This 1403-nucleotide long non-coding RNA is filed under the name Callithrix jacchus (white-tufted-ear marmoset). Its description in RNAcentral is "lncRNA (ENSCJAG00000078002.1)". Lineage: Eukaryota; Metazoa; Chordata; Mammalia; Primates; Cebidae. The record is from RNAcentral.